Molecule: ribosomal RNA, 372 nt
Filed under: uncultured bacterium
Lineage: Bacteria
Description: bacterial SSU rRNA
Rfam family: Bacterial small subunit ribosomal RNA
Source: RNAcentral
ACAGUGGCGAACGGGUGAGGAACACGUAAGAAUCUGCCCCUCGGUCGGGGACAACUCUUGGAAACGAGAGCUAAUACCCGAUACGCUGUGGAGUGAAAGAAUUUCGCCGAGGGAUGAUCUUGCGUCUGAUUAGCUAGUUGGUGUGGUAAUGGCACACCAAGGCGACGAUCAGUAGCUGGUCUGAGAGGAUGGACAGCCACAUUGGAACUGAGACACGGUCCAAACUCCUACGGGAGGCAGCAGUGGGGAAUUUUCCGCAAUGGACGCAAGUCUGACGGAGCGACGCUGCGUGAAGGAUGACGGCCCGCGGGUUGUAAACUUCUUUUCUCGAAGAAGAAACAAAUGACGGUAUUCGAGGAAUAACCAUCGGCU